Molecule: ribosomal RNA, 389 nt
Filed under: uncultured Nitrospina sp.
Lineage: Bacteria; Pseudomonadati; Nitrospinota; Nitrospinia; Nitrospinales; Nitrospinaceae
Description: bacterial SSU rRNA
Rfam family: Bacterial small subunit ribosomal RNA
Source: RNAcentral
AACGAACGCUGGCGGUGUGCUUAACACAUGCAAGUCGAACGUGAAAGUUUCCUUCGGGAAACUAGUAAAGUGGCGCAAGGGUGAGUAACACGUGAAUAAUCUGCCCUCGAGAUCGGGAUAACUUGGCGAAAGCUAGGCUAAUACCGGAUAAGACCACAUUUCAUACGAAAUGCGGUAAAAGGAGCCUCAAUCUUCACUCGAGGAUGAGUUCGCGGACCAUUAGCUUGUUGGUGAGAUAAAAGCUCACCAAGGCUACGAUGGAUAGCCGGCCUGAGAGGGUGAUCGGCCACACUGGAACUGAGACACGGUCCAGACUCCUACGGGAGGCAGCAGUGGGGAAUAUUGGACAAUGGGGGCAACCCUGAUCCAGCAAUGCCGCGUGUGUGAUG